This 253-nucleotide ribosomal RNA is filed under the name uncultured bacterium. RNAcentral's name for it is "partial 16S ribosomal RNA". It matches the Rfam family "Bacterial small subunit ribosomal RNA", at positions 524 to 776 of the family's 1533-position model. The record is from RNAcentral.
UACGGAGGAUGCAAGCGUUAUCCGGAAUUAUUGGGCGUAAAGCGUCCGCAGGUGGUCAAUCAAGUCUGCUGUCAAAGCACGUGGCUUAACCACGAAAAGGCAGUGGAAACUGAAGGACUAGAGUGCUCAAGGGGUAGAGGGAAUUCUCGGUGUAGCGGUGAAAUGCGUAGAGAUCGAGAAGAACAUCGGUGGCGAAAGCGCUCUACUGGAGAGCAACUGACACUCAGGGACGAAAGCUAGGGGAGCGAAUGGG